GUAAGUAUCCGGGGCUGGUGGAGGCAAGGGAUAAAAGCAGGGCUCCGUGCUCAAGAAUGGCCCCUGUUUCUCUCUUAGUACGGGUGACAGAGGUGCCUAGCUUCCUCUCUCUUGGAUUCGCUGAUUCUUAGCUGACCUGCACCAAUUUGGACCAUUCCCUCUGACACCUGAAGCAUGGCUGUAGAAGAGAUCUCAAGAUCUGUGUACCACGCGAGUGCCUGGUCUCCCUGGAAGUCAGAGAAGAGCACUGGAUUCUCUGAAACUAGAGUUACAGACGUCUGUGAGCUGCUACCAUACCCAAAGUGCUCUGGAAGAGCAUCCAGCACUCUUAACCACCAAGUCCUCUGUCCAUCCAGCUUUGCUGCUUCUUGAUUAAGUUAAGAUGAACUCAAGGGCUUAGAAGGGGCUGAAAGGGUGCCUGGCAGUGCUACAUAAAUGUUUGUUGUUGUUUUACUAACAGCCGUACUUAUUUUUAUGCUUAGUUGACUAUUUUCGUUUUUGUUGUGUUUCUCUGUAUAAAACAUUUUCCCAUUUCAAUUUUUUUUAAAUCUCUUUGAUUCAUUUCAAAUGAAAUUAAUCACGAAGAGCACUGUGGUAAAAUGCAAUAUAUUUGAGAUUCUCAAAGAGCACAAAUGAAAAUAAUAUGCACUAAAAGCACAGAAUAAGACACUUAAUACUGAGGACAUUUAAUGUGUCUCUAAUAAAAUUUGCAAAAGAAGAGAAUGUGAAGGGAGAAAAAAAAUGACAGACAUUUUAGGAUUAAAAACAAUAUUUUGGGAGCUAGAAAUGUAGUUUAUUGAUGCUCUGGGUGCAAUUUCCAGGACUAAACGAAAAUGAAAAACAAACAUCUAAACAAAAAAACCAAAGACAUUACUUGAGGGGACAUACAAAUGGCCAAAAAGGACAUGAAAAAAUGUUCAACAUAAUGAAUCACUAGGGACAUUCAGAUCAAAGCUGCAGUGAUAUACCGCCCAGUGAGGCUACAGCUAUACAGCUGUAAGUGCAGCUCUGGGGCUGAGGAGGACAGUGGAGAUGUGAACACUCUAAACACUUGGCCAAACAAUUUAUCCCAAACUGCCAGCCCCAGAUUCAAUUAGAGAACGUGUCUCAAAAAGUAAUGGUGGAAACCAACAGAAGAUGUCUGCCCCUGGACACCAUAUGUGCAUACAAAGGUGAUCACUCCAUGCAGAUAGGUACAGGCAUGGAACACACACACACACACACACACACACACACACACACACACACACACACAGAGGGAGAGUAAAUUUAAAAAAACAAAACAAAAAAACAACCAUACAUUUAGAAAUAAAAUUUGAAAAGAAAGGGCUAGAGAGGUGUGGCUCAAGCCAGUAGGCUCACAACCAAGAUAAGGCCAAAUUAGAAAAGGAAAAAAAAAUAAAAAUAAAAAAAGCCCUCAGGAUAAAGAUAUGCCUUGCAUAUGAAGCAGGAAAAAUUGACAAGGCCACACCUAGA
Molecule: long non-coding RNA, 1476 nt
Organism: Meriones unguiculatus (Mongolian gerbil)
Lineage: Eukaryota; Metazoa; Chordata; Mammalia; Rodentia; Muridae
Exons: 3
Source: RefSeq, a predicted model, not a curated record